RNAcentral lists this long non-coding RNA (445 nucleotides) under Numida meleagris (helmeted guineafowl). Its description in RNAcentral is "lncRNA (ENSNMEG00000013392.1)". The record is from RNAcentral. Lineage: Eukaryota; Metazoa; Chordata; Aves; Galliformes; Numididae.
CAGAAAGGUACCCAGGAGAGGAUAGAUGCUUUUCUCUGCGUUUGAGAAAUACUUGAAUAGUGAGGAAUGGAAUUUAGGCUCGCAUGGAUGCCUGUGGGAGCUGAGUGCCUGCUGCUCUGUAGACCUGGUGUGCUGAUGGUGAAGACAGGUGGUUUCAUUUAUUCCUUCAUUUAUUUUGCUGGAACGAUGAAAUGAGGAUCAUCACGAAAACAGACAUGGCUGGAGAAUAACAACUGAUGAACAACCCUGAAGACACCAGAGAUGAACUGAAGGUGCUGUGAAGACAAGUGGUAGAACUGAGCUUUAAACCCUUUUGUAUAGUUCUUGUCAUCAGGUUUGUUUUGCCUUAUAGGCCUUCUCACUGUGUAUCAUCUGUCUUUUGUUGGAGCAAAAAUACCCAUAGAAACAAAUAAGGAAGCAGACUUGCAUGAGCAGCAUGCAGGCA